AGCUGUUAUGUAACAAAAUUAAUUAGCCAUGUCAAUAUGAGUGGGCGGGUGAAUAGGCUGCGGUGUUAUCACCCACUAAAUUAACCACAGUACUCAUUCAAUAGCAUGAUAACACUUCUCAGAUGCAUUAUGGCGGGUAUUUUGCGACCUCUGGUUCUCUUAGACUUAUUACAAAAUGGCUGACCAGACAUUCUCAAGAUCCAAGCUCAAGAGGCUCAAUCGAAAAGCUAGAGUUGACAAAAUUGGCAAGCAGCUGUGUAUGGAGAAGAAGAGCCUUGAAUGUGCCGAGAAAAAUGUUCAGAAUUGGAAGAAGAAGGCAAUAGAUUAUAAACUGGAACUCAACGUGUAUCGAGCUAAGCAAUUACGGACAGGAACUCUGGGAACAUCCUGCAGUCACCAACGACCACUAAAGUUACUAACAGCAGCCAUGAAGACGAGUGCAAUCAGUCUACCCAAGGCAACUCCAAGAAUGUGUACGAAUGCUGAUAUUAUGCGAGGAGUUACUGUAGUUCCAGAGAUAAGUGAGAAAUGUUUAGCAGAUGGGGGUGGUGAUGUUCAUAUAGGAAAUGGUCGGUUUGGAACAUGCUCUCGUAUGAUUUUUAAAGAGUGUUUUGACGUCUGUGUCAAAACAUUUACUUCCGACUCCUCAAUCGAAUCGAUUAGGCAUGAAGCCAGUAUAUUACUUACAUUAAAUUCCAGCCCUUAUAUACCACACUGUUUUGGUAUUUGUUCCACCAGGAGAGCUUUAGUAAUGUCUAAUGUAAGCGUGAAGCAGCAACAAGUUUCAUUAUAAUUAUUCUGCCUUGUAUUCGACUAACGAAAUUAAAUUAAGCCCUAAGACAUGGAUGCAAAUACUGAUCCAAAUUUGUGAUGGUCUAUCAUACAUGCACAAGCUGAGUAUUCUUCACAAUGAUCUUAAAGUAGACAACGUAGUAUUAGGGACUACUUUGUUAGAAUGUAUCCGGCCAUGUAUUGUGGAUUUUGGAAAGGCAUGUAAAGAAAAGCAUGCUAAGAAGUACUGCCUGACCGAGGAACAGAAAGUUAUUUACAUAAAAGAACACACUCAAGUAGCUCCAGACCUCCGCGAUGGGCUUGUUUUACAGAGCACACAGAGCGAUAUAUACUCAUUAGGUAGAAUAAUGAAGAAGAUGAACUCCAUUGUAAUUAAGUCAACUGAACUUGCCCAUGUAAUUAAGGAAUGUCUUUCUUAUCAUGCUCAUGACCGUCCUAGCUUAGAAACCAUUUCUCUUAAUGUUGAAUGACUAUGUGACUAAUUAUGUCUUACAUUCAUUCGUUCAUGUUUAAAUCUGGUGCUAGCUUUAACUAUGACAUAGUCUAUGUAUAAUUGUAGGCAAAUCCGUGCUCUCUAAUGGAAGGCUGACAAGGUUAGCUGUAAGUCGGGAUGCGUGUUGACCCAGCCAUUUGUUUGAGAGUCAUUAAAAGCAUUAUGGUAGAGAAUUGGCCUGAAGCAGUUAGUUAUGAGUCACAUAGUGCGUAUUGGCUGCUCAGGUUGGGCCAUGCAUGCAUUAACAAUUAACAAUUAACAAUGAUCAACAACGUUUUUUCACCAGAUUUACACAUACAAUUUCAGAUAGUAGUCUAGGUGACUCUAACAUUUCACCAUUGCUAUUUCUAUAUGUUUUCGGUCCAUACUUAAUUCUAGGACAUACUACAAUAGGAAAAUCUACUGUGCAGCCAUUGCCAUAUCUAUCAUACAAAAUAUACCAACUACCUAUAAAAUAUUCAUCGUUAAAAUCAGUUUGUUGAAGUUGGAGCUUUCCGCGGGUCAUUUGGGUUCCUCGAUCUUUAAAUAGGUAACGAAAUACAUCUAGCCGGAAAUCUAUAGUUAAAUUACAGGAUUUUACAGUACCUAAAUUUAAACUACAUUGAAUGGACAGAACAAAUCUUCUUGUUGCGUCGCUUAUAAGCUCGGUAUG
Halichondria panicea is the source of this 1937-nucleotide long non-coding RNA. RefSeq lists it as uncharacterized. Lineage: Eukaryota; Metazoa; Porifera; Demospongiae; Suberitida; Halichondriidae. The record is from RefSeq and is a predicted model, not a curated record. The transcript has 2 exons.